CUAAGGUCAUGAUUUGUAGUCUGGUUCUUCGUGAUGAUGCCACAGGACAUAGCCCAGAAUAUUCAGCUUUGUAAAGAUGGCAGCCUCCUGUCCACACUACUCCAUUUCACUGGUCAGGGCUCUGAGGCUCUGGGACACAGCCUUGACUGGGUCAACUGCCAUGCAGAAAUUAAUAUUUCAAAUAGACUGUCAGAUCUUUAUGCUCUGAAGGGUUCUCAGAGCCUGGUGGCUCAGCAGCGUAUGUCUGCCUACAGCACGCCAAUGCCAAGCAUCGACAGAGAGAGGUCACCAAGCAUGAAGCUGCUGAAGCAGGCAACACUGGAAAUCUUGGAUACCUCUCGAUAGAUCAAGAAAUCAUUUGGAAGGAGCCAUGAAAUUCCAACAUAAAAGAAUUAGCCUUGCAAAAACCUCUUCUAUUUUACCUCAUAUAUUGUUCAACUCAUAACACUGGGAUAUCUUAGCCUACAGUGAGAACUCAUUUUUAUCUAAUACACAUAAUUAGGCCAAAUCAAUGGAUUACAGAUUAAACAAGCAGGGAAUUUAACUAUGACUGGAAGAACAUUAUGGAUCAGAAGUCCUAAUAAUAUAUGGCCAUCAUUUUAAAAUGCUGGUUAUUUAUUGAAAAUUUUAUCUUGAAGUGGCCUGCAAGAAACUAGCAGCUUUUAAGUUCUUACUAAUUUACUUCACUUGACAACAAAUAUUUAUUUACAUUAAUUUCACAUUUGGUCACAUAUUGAAUGGUUACUGAGCCCUGAGUUUUGCUUGUUUUAAAAUAAAACUGUUAGGUCCUUUGCUUGUUGUUAAAUA
Molecule: long non-coding RNA, 807 nt
Filed under: Cyanistes caeruleus (blue tit)
Lineage: Eukaryota; Metazoa; Chordata; Aves; Passeriformes; Paridae
Description: lncRNA (ENSCCEG00000015708.1)
Source: RNAcentral